AGAGUUUGAUCCUGGCUCAGGAUGAACGCUAGCGGCAGGCUUAAUACAUGCAAGUCGAGGGGCAUCGGGGGUAGCAAUACCUGCCGGCGACCGGCAAACGGGUGCGGAACACGUACACAACCUUCCUUUAAGUGGGGGAUAGCCCAGAGAAAUUUGGAUUAAUACCCCGUAACAUUUCUGAGUGGCAUCAUUUGGGAAUUAAAGCUACGGCGCUUGGAGAUGGGUGUGCGUCUGAUUAGGUAGUUGGUAGAGGUAACGGCUCACCAAGCCUUCGAUCAGUAACUGGUGUGAGAGCACGACCAGUCACACGGGCACUGAGACACGGGCCCGACUCCUACGGGAGGCAGCAGUAAGGAAUAUUGGUCAAUGGACGCAAGUCUGAACCAGCCAUGCCGCGUGGAGGAUGAAGGUCCUCUGGAUUGUAAACUUCUUUUAUCUGGGAAGAAAUGCAUUUUUUCUAAAGUGUUUGACGGUACCAGAAGAAUAAGCACCGGCUAACUCCGUGCCAGCAGCCGCGGUAAUACGGAGGGUGCAAGCGUUAUCCGGAUUCACUGGGUUUAAAGGGUGCGUAGGUGGGCAUUUAAGUCAGUGGUGAAAUCUCCGGGCUUAACCCGGAAACUGCCAUUGAUACUAUAUGUCUUGAAUACCGUGGAGGUGAGCGGAAUAUGUCAUGUAGCGGUGAAAUGCUUAGAUAUGACAUAGAACACCAAUUGCGAAGGCAGCUCACUACACGGACUAUUGACACUGAGGCACGAAAGCGUGGGGAUCAAACAGGAUUAGAUACCCCCGUAGUCC
This 795-nucleotide ribosomal RNA is filed under the name uncultured Chitinophagaceae bacterium. Its description in RNAcentral is "bacterial SSU rRNA". It matches the Rfam family "Bacterial small subunit ribosomal RNA", at positions 8 to 796 of the family's 1533-position model. The record is from RNAcentral. Lineage: Bacteria; Pseudomonadati; Bacteroidota; Chitinophagia; Chitinophagales; Chitinophagaceae.